UACGUAGGCAGCGAGCGUUGUUCGGAGUUACUGGGCGUAAAGGGCGCGUAGGCGGCUAUUUAAGUCGGGGGUGAAAUCCUGGAGCUCAACUCCAGAACUGCCUUCGAUACUGGCGAUCUUGAGUCCGGAAGAGGUGAGUGGAACUCCUAGUGUAGAGGUGGAAUUCGUAGAUAUUAGGAAGAACACCAGUGGCGAAGGCGGCUCACUGGUCCGGUACUGACGCUGAGGUGCGAAAGCGUGGGGAGCAAACAGG
Molecule: ribosomal RNA, 253 nt
Filed under: uncultured bacterium
Lineage: Bacteria
Description: partial 16S ribosomal RNA
Rfam family: Bacterial small subunit ribosomal RNA
Source: RNAcentral